Molecule: ribosomal RNA, 497 nt
Filed under: uncultured bacterium
Lineage: Bacteria
Description: partial 16S ribosomal RNA
Rfam family: Bacterial small subunit ribosomal RNA
Source: RNAcentral
GAUGAACGCUGGCGGCGUGCCUAAUACAUGCAAGUCGAGCGAACGGACGAGAAGCUUGCUUCUCUGAUGUUAGCGGCGGACGGGUGAGUAACACGUGGAUAACCUACCUAUAAGACUGGGAUAACUUCGGGAAACCGGAGCUAAUACCGGAUAAUAUUUUGAACCGCAUGGUUCAAAAGUAAAAGACGGUCUUGCUGUCACUUAUAGAUGGAUCCGCGCUGCAUUAGCUAGUUGGUAAGGUAACGGCUUACCAAGGCAACGAUGCAUAGCCGACCUGAGAGGGUGAUCGGCCACACUGGAACUGAGACACGCUCCAGACUCCUACGGGAGGCAGCAGUAGGGAAUCUUCCGCAAUGGGCGAAAGCCUGACGGAGCAACGCCGCGUGAGUGAUGAAGGUCUUCGGAUCGUAAAACUCUGUUAUUAGGGAAGAACAUAUGUGUAAGUAACUGUGCACAUCUUGACGGUACCUAAUCAGAAAGCCACGGCUAACUACGUG